GACCUAAUGUACGUGCAAAGGUGAAUCCUUCUUUCACGCCAGGGGUAUAACCCUGGUCUAGGUAACAGAAACAACCAUGAUCAUGAUCAGGACAUUAGAUGCCAUGACGCUCCAACAGCUCCCAACCAAGUACAUGUUAGCAUUUAUAGUCAAUGUGCAUCUACUGAACUCUAGAAUACAGAAUUCUUGAGAAUGCUUCAUUUACAU
RNAcentral lists this long non-coding RNA (207 nucleotides) under Elaeis guineensis (African oil palm). RNAcentral describes it as "long non-coding RNA (EGUI_LNC049712)". Lineage: Eukaryota; Viridiplantae; Streptophyta; Magnoliopsida; Arecales; Arecaceae. The record is from RNAcentral.